RNAcentral lists this ribosomal RNA (860 nucleotides) under Enterobacter cancerogenus ATCC 35316. Its description in RNAcentral is "partial 16S ribosomal RNA". The stretch from base 234 to 860 matches the Rfam family "Bacterial small subunit ribosomal RNA", at positions 1 to 619 of the family's 1533-position model. The record is from RNAcentral. Lineage: Bacteria; Pseudomonadati; Pseudomonadota; Gammaproteobacteria; Enterobacterales; Enterobacteriaceae.
CAGCAGAGAAAAGCGAAAUUAAAGCUUGACUCUGAGGCGGGAAAGCGUAAUAUGCACACCCCGCGCCGCUGAGAAAAGCGAAGCGGCACUGCUCUUUAACAAUUUAUCAGACAAUCUGUGUGGGCACUCAAAGUGACAUGGAUUCUUAACGUCGCAAGACGAAAAAUGAAUACCAAGUCUCUGAGUGAACAUACGUAAUUCAUUACGAAGUUUAAUUCACGAGCAUCAAACUUAAAUUGAAGAGUUUGAUCAUGGCUCAGAUUGAACGCUGGCGGCAGGCCUAACACAUGCAAGUCGAGCGGUAGCACAGAGAGCUUGCUCUCGGGUGACGAGCGGCGGACGGGUGAGUAAUGUCUGGGAAACUGCCUGAUGGAGGGGGAUAACUACUGGAAACGGUAGCUAAUACCGCAUAACGUCGCAAGACCAAAGAGGGGGACCUUCGGGCCUCUUGCCAUCAGAUGUGCCCAGAUGGGAUUAGCUAGUAGGUGGGGUAACGGCUCACCUAGGCGACGAUCCCUAGCUGGUCUGAGAGGAUGACCAGCCACACUGGAACUGAGACACGGUCCAGACUCCUACGGGAGGCAGCAGUGGGGAAUAUUGCACAAUGGGCGAAAGCCUGAUGCAGCCAUGCCGCGUGUAUGAAGAAGGCCUUCGGGUUGUAAAGUACUUUCAGCGGGGAGGAAGGCGAUAAGGUUAAUAACCUUGUCGAUUGACGUUACCCGCAGAAGAAGCACCGGCUAACUCCGUGCCAGCAGCCGCGGUAAUACGGAGGGUGCAAGCGUUAAUCGGAAUUACUGGGCGUAAAGCGCACGCAGGCGGUCUGUCAAGUCGGAUGUGAAAUCCCCGGGCUCAACCUGGGA